Callithrix jacchus (white-tufted-ear marmoset) is the source of this 20617-nucleotide RNA transcript. RefSeq lists it as uncharacterized. The record is from RefSeq and is a predicted model, not a curated record. NCBI's taxonomy places the organism in Eukaryota, Metazoa, Chordata, Mammalia, Primates, Cebidae.
AGAGAGGGAGAGGGAGAGAGACUAUAGAAAAGAGGAAGAUCCACAACCAGGUCCUGAGAGAAGUGAACUUGGGUGGAGAAUGAAGGUUGGAAAAGAGUUUCAACAAGAGCAUCAAGUGAUGUAGAGGAAAACCGAAAAAACAGCAGCAACUCAGAACAUAAAAGGGGAGAGAAUUUCAAGAUGGGGGAGUAGGCAAGCGGAAUGCAGGAAGCCGGAAUAAGGAGAGUAAUGCUCGCUGGUUUCCCCUUCAGCCCAGCCUGAGGUUAUUUCCCAAGUCCACAUUUAAUCAUCCAAAGCAGUAGAAAUAACCUCAACAGGGUAAGCACAUUAGAACACAAUAUUCUAACAUUAAUGAAUUUCCCAAGGGGUAUUUUAUUUGUUCUUAAAUAAUACAGUGUGCAGGACACCCACAUCCUAGUACAGCCUGAACUACAAAGAGCCGUGUUCACAAUUCUCCUUUUAUCCUUAAGUUAGGCUCACUCCUGAAUGUCUGUCUUUCUUCAAGAGAAACGAAAGUUUCUGGAACAGGGUACCCUAGAUCUAUGUAGAGAAAAGGCAUAUUCCUGCCACACAUUCUCUAGAAAGACAGGGAGGAUGACAACAAAAGAAGAAAAAAAAUCACCAAAAGCUUUGGCUCAACCAUAGGUAAAAAUUUACAAUUAGGGAAGGCUUUUGUUCUUAUUCUAAAACAUAACAUCACUGUCACUCCACAGCUCUGGCUCUGAAUAAUGGAGGGUGUUUGCUUUGCAUUUGGGUAAUUAAAGAGCCCACUCAGCUGCUUAUCCCAAACAUGGGAAUAAUCUGACCCAAAGGUGACUGAAUUCAGGUCUGUAAUUCUUUUGCUGAGUUUCAAAAUGGCAGUUUUUGUACCUUUAAGCUAAGUUACUUUCACAAGGCUUAGGAUAAGGCCCUGAGUGCAUUAUGUGACCAGUUGCUAUUCGUUGCAUGAAUAGGUGAACAAGGAGGCAAAGGGACGAAGUGGAAAAAACAGUUCAAUUAGAAGAUCGGAUUCUGGGAGGGUCAUUUCUGCUCUCUGAACCCUAACAUUCGAAAAUGUACCAUCUUAAAAUCCAAAAGUUUUAAAGCGAUAGGUUGAAAAAGGACAAUUCAACAGGCAAAAAUAAUUAAAACAGGUUCCAUUAAUUUCUCACAUCUCACAAACGAAGUUAAAGGAGAGAGGAAUAAACUGCCCAUAGAACACAUUGAACUUCUCUCCCCUUACACCGCACUGCUGCUCUAUGUCUCUCUCUCUCUAACACCCUCCCAACCGUAGCUGAUGAGACUUUAUUAUACUCCAACUUGCCUACCCUAGCAUUUCAACCUGUGCCCCUUUCCAGAAAGGAUUCUACAUCUUUGGGAGAAAAGAAAAAGUAGAAUUUGGACUUGCACUGAGAGGAUUAUCUUUGGUGGUCCGGAAGAGCAGGUAACUCCUAGACAAUUCUCACAUGAAUCGUUUUUGCCUGUUUAAAUGGGAAAAAUAAGAACCUGAUCUCUAGGACUGCUAGGAGGAUUAUGUAAGUUUGUGUACUUGCAAACUCCACAGACGCAUGAUGGCAUUAUAAUCUUUGCUGCACAAGCAUUAUUUACUGUCCUAAGUAUGAUUUUUAAAAAUCUCCUUCUCACAAAAGAUAGGUUUCAUCUUCAUAGUAAACCUGCUUCCCUUUCGGAGCGUAAGAUCCCAAACAAAAAGGAAAGUGAAGCCAUUACAAAAAGGAGCCAAUACAAGAAGGAUCUAGAAGUAACUUUAGAUGCACUGUCAGGAAGUUUAUUAGUGACAGGCAUGCACAUAGCACAGUGUAAUGAAAAUCUGUGCUUAUACCACCCACUUAAAAAUAAUUGUAGUUAGCACAGGAACUUGUUGCAUAUAACCAGCACCUUUGACAAGCUAUUGAUUUUUAAAAGUCAGAUUCAGGCAUUUUUUCUGAAGUAGAACUUCAGGGAUAAAAUCUGAAAAUGUUAUUCUUUUAAUUCAAAAAGGGAGUUGGUGUGUGUGUGAGCUUAUCACUGGUUUCAUGAAUAUUGCUAAUUCCUAUAAUCGACUAGAAAAUCUGACUGUGUAUUAAUUAUCUAUUGUUGCACGACAGAUUAACACUCACUUAAAACAACAGACCUUUUUUAGUGUGUGGUUUUUGUGGGUCAGGUACACGGGAGAGGUUCGGCUGAGUGGUUCUUGGUUGGAGUGUCUUAUGAGGGUGCUGUCAGGCUAUCAGCAGGGGUUUUGAUCAUCUGAAGGCUUAACUGGGGCUGAAGAGCCUGCCCCCAAGAUGAGUCACUCUUAAAUAGUGGUUAGCGGGAAGCCCCAACCCAUGCUGGCUAUUGGUCUCGGUGUUUUCACAAUGUGUACCUCUCCACAGGAUUGCGUGAGCAUCUUCGCAACAUGGCAGCUGGCUUCUCCUAGUGGGACUGAUCUAAGAAAGAGCAAGGAAGAAGCCUCAGUGCCUUUUAUGUCUUAAUCAUGAGGUCAAAUACCAUCCAUUCUUCUACCUUCUGUUUGCUAGAAACAAGUUACUAAGUACAGCCCACACUUAGAGAAAGAAGAAUUAGACUAUUUUUUGAAAGGAACUCCUCCAAUGUGGAAAGUUUCUAAUGUAAUCACAUGUUAAAUGAGGAGUUUGUACUGACUGCGGCAACAAGAAGUCAGAGAGGUCAGACAGCAAAGUGAGGUGAGAGACAGGACACCAAAUUGGAAAUUUUGAGAGAAACUCUCUUGAAAAUUAUUGCACAGAUUCUGUGCCUCUCCUCUAAUGCUCCUUACCUAGGCUGAGGUUAAGUCAGGGGGAUUUUAGAGUGAGGCAUUUGAAUGUUAGAAAAGCAAUCCCCACUCAAAGUCAGGGAAGAGCCUCCACACCAGAUUGCUCAGAGUUGAUAAAUGACCUCUGUAGGCUGAAGGCACGAGGAACUGGUACUUGGCUCAUGACUUAUAAGGCUUUACCUAUGAGAAUCAGAAAACUCACAAAGCGUUCUUGAAUUUUUACUAAGAGGCAGUAAAAUCAUUACUUCCACAGAACAGGUUUAGAGGGAUAGUGGAAAAUGAAAAUAAAGAAUAAAGAUACUUUUAUAACUACCCCGCAUGCAGUCUCUAUGUUUAACACAUGGAUCCACUAACAUAUAUCACAGACAUUGUCUGCCUUUUAAACAAAGUAUGGUGAGUUAUUAAGAAAAGGUUAUUUUCAAUGUUAUCGUGACUAAUGCAAUAAUGAAAAAAACCUUGGAUUUGAAUCCUGUAUUUUCAAAGUAACUCAAUACAAUGAUGUCCCCAAGGCUUAUGGAGAUCUAUGGGGUUAUUUACCCUGGACUCAUAAUUCUUACAUGUGCGUUUCCAAUUUCCUUGACAUGUCAUUUGGUUUCUAUGUUUUCCAUUGUCACUUUCAACAGUUUCUUUAUGCUUCUCUAUAUUAUCUCCUCUCUCUUCUUUUAACUGAUGGUUGGGAGAUAAACUUGUUGGAAUUGUGAGUAAAAUAAGAAUAAAAAGUACCAUGAUCUUUAUUUAUUAACUGCUUGCUAACCAAUAUUCUACAUACAGAAAGGUGCUGGAUAACUGACUUAUAGAUGAGGGGAUUCUGAUUUGAUGGAUAUAUUAGGUAAAAAUAAAAAAACAGAGGUAUGUACACACUAGGUAUCAUUGAUAGAAAGUAUUUGAUGAGCAAUUUUGGCUUCAUUUUUAAUAGGAUUUUUCUUUAUGUACUUUUAAAUUAGUUAAUUAAAUUAGCUAGUACCUCGUGACUACCUAGUAUGUGCCAGAUGCUAAGCUGGUAUCCAUUAAUGCUGCAUUGGAUUAAAUUAUUUAGUCAACUGCUUCUAUUUGAGUUCCUGAGCUCAAUCCUAAAUGUGCUCUGUAACUCGGACCAAGAAAUGGAUUUUUCCAUGUCUUUUGAGAAUGGCAAAUCUCUUAUGCCACUUAAGAAGAUGAAGAGACAACACAUUUAACACCAGAUGGGGAAUGAAAUCUAACCCAACAAAUGGCAGAGGAUUUGCUGUGAGGCCUGACAGCAAUAAAACUCACACUUUACUUUUAUAUGAUGCUUUAAUUUUCCAGAUUUCUUUAAUAGCAGUCCUUGCAUUUUACUUUCACAACAGCUUUCUGAAAGAUAAGAAAACUCUGAAUUAUCUUGCAAGUGAGCCUAGAUGGUCUAAUUGCCCAGAGCCAGUUACCAAGCCAGGGCUAAAGUUCCAUCUUUAUUCUAUGAAAUCCAGUGUUUUCUCUCUUAAAUCAGGGCUCCAGCCUGCACUUUCGGGGCUUAAUUUCUGCUGGCUUAGUAUUUAUCCAGCUGAUUUUGAUGUCAUGCAGAUCACAUAUUUAGAGCUAUAACUGGACAUCCUUAUAGCCGAGUGGUUUGUCCAGAGCUCGAAAUGUACCAUCAGUGCCUGUGUUUGGGAACCUAUAUAUUUCUGACCUCUGCCCUACUUAAUAAAAGAGUUGAGUUACCAGAAACAGAGCUGAAGGCCAAGAGCGGUUUUUGUGCAUUGAGCCCUUGGCAUUGGUUCCUGGCAGCAAGCCUCUUUCAUGCAGCAGGAAGCUGAAGGAAAGUCCUCCUGCCCAGGGCUAGAUGCUUUGGAAGAAGUCACUCCUCACCACCAGGUCAGUGCAGAGGCUUCUGCUCCUCAGCAGGAAGGGAACAAGGAAGGACUGAGGGUGGUGAAGGUCCAGGGUGUCCUAAUUGUGAUUGACUUCGAAGUCCUGCUUCCACUGCGGAGCGAAGCUACAAGAGGAAAGAGAAAUUGCCUACCCUGCUGACACUCCCCAUUUCCAGAAGCUCAGCUUCUACCUAUGGAGAUGUCAGGCUCCCUUUUCUGAUCAGCACGGGGGAAGUCAGUGAUGAGCAAUCCAUUGAGGCUGAAACACACAAUCAGGGUUUGCAGCCAACUCCAGCAUUUUUCCCUCAUUGCACAUAUUGUGUUGGGACAAUGGUCUGAUCAAAUGUUUUCUAAUUUCAUUGUGGACUUCCUCUCUGUAAUGAGUCCCUCUCUCCAGCUCUAAAUAAAGAAGAUGCUAAAAACGUGACACACACUACAGCUGGGUCACCCACAUCUGGGCUUUUUAUCUUAAAGAUGGGGUGGGGGCGGGGAGGAUGGUUAAGCAAGACGUGGCUGGCUUUUCUUAUCAAAGAGGUGAGUGGGGAAAUGGGGGUAGACAGAUCAGGGAAUGAGGCUGCAUCAUCCAGCAUUGUUACUGAAUGACAGACAUAUCCUCUGGGACUAAUUAUAAUAACGAUCCCAGUCCAUAACUUACUCAGAGCUUGAGGGUCCUUCUGUAUGCCACAUUCUCAAAUGUGGGCACCUGGAUUGCACCUAUGAAGUUGGCAUUUACCAAAGAAACCCACGUGCAGAUGGAUAUUUGCAUGUGAAAACCAGAUAAUUGUGUGUGUGUGAGCAAGAGAGUUUCUGCACACAAUUACCAGCCUCUCCUCAAGAUGUUGGAAGCAGUUUCUGGUCCUUUGGGAAACUGGGCUACAAUUUGCUGGUGCAGAUUGGAGUUUGGGGCUUAUGUGAAACAUGUUCCCAGGUUUUAGAGAAGUAACUGUGAUGAGUUGUGAUGGAUGUAUUGACAUCUACGAUGCGCUCAGCAGGGCAACAUGGUAUGUAAGAGCGCAGACUGUGCCAUCAGAUGGACCUGGAUUCUGAUUCCAGCUCCACUACAGCUCUCACUAAGGCAACAUGCAGGAGAAAGUGUAGUUUCUUUGAGAAGCUAGAAAUAACUGCAUAUGUUUGAGCAUUGGGUCUGUGUGGCAUUGUAGCAGAAUCAUGUAGGUCUCUGUAUUAGUCAGGGUUCUCUAUAGGGGGACAGAGCCAAUAGGAUAGAUGUAUGUAUGAGGGGGAGUUUCUUAUUUUAUUGUUAUUAUUAUUUGCGACAGAGUCUUGCUAUGUUGCCAGGUGCCAGGCUGGAGUGCAGUGGUGUAAUCUUGGCUCACUGCAACCUCCGCCUCCCAGGUUCAAACAAUUCUCCUGCCUCAGCCUCCUGAGUAACUGGGACUACUGGUGUGCACAACCACACCCACCUAAUUUUUGUAUUUUUUUAGUAGAGAUGGGGUUUCACCAUGGUCUCGAUCUCUUGAUCUCGUGAUCCAGCUGCCUCGGCCUCCCGAAGUGCUGGGAUUACAGGCAUGAGCCACCGUGCCUGGUCAAGGGGGAGUUUAUUAAGGAGCAUUUACUCACAAGAUCACAAGGUGAAGUCCCGCUGUAGGCUGUCUGCAAGCUGAAGAUCAAGGAAGCCAGUCAGAGUCUCAAAACCUCAAAAGUAAGGAAGCCAACAGCACUGCCUUCAGUCUGUGGCCAAAGUCCUGAGAGCCCCUGGCCAACCACUGGUAUAGGUCCAAGAGUCCAAAAGCUGAAGAACUUGGAGUGUGAUGUUCGAAGGCAGGAAGCAUCCAGCACAGGAGAAAGAUGAAGGCCAGAAGACUCAGGAAGUCAGCUCUUCCAACUCCUACCUGCUUUGUUCUAUCCAAGCCGGCAGCUGAUUAAAUGACAACCACCCAGUCUGAGGGUGGGUCUGCCUCCCCCGUUUCACUGACUCAAAUGUUAAUCUCCUUUGGUGAUACCCUCACAGGCACACCCAGUAACAAUACUUUGCAUCCUUCAAUCCAAUCAAGUUGAUGCUCAAUGUUAAUCAUCACAGUCUCCAAGGGAACAGAGUGAAGUUAAAUCUUUGGCAGAACAGGAUUUGAACCAAGACUGUCCCUUUUAACUGUUCUGCACUUAACAACCAUCUUCCAUGGGUGCUUAGUGAGCACUUGGUGAAUAAUGGGACCUGAAGCACAAAGAUGUUCAUCCUUCUGCAUAAGAGGUUUUUUUUUUUCUUCUGUUUGUGAGCCAUGCUGGGUCCUGUGAAGAAGGAAUCUUCAAGCCCAGUUUUAGAGACCCAUGUAAUUUCCCCAGCCAGUGCUUCCUGUGGUCAGUAUUGAGGAUCACAAAAGACAAGAUGCCAGAAGCAAUUUGUCAGUUUUCUACCCCUGACUCUACUGUGUCUUUGGCUGAAUCCUCUGCCUAGAGUGAACAGCAUCUUUCUCUCUUUCUCUUCUACUCUUGUUCAAGCUUAGAUGAAGGUGUGCCUCUUCUUGGAAAAACACACCCAUGAGAUUGGCACUAAUCUUAUCCCCAUUAGAUGGAUGAGGAAACUGAGUUACAGAGCGAUUAAGUGACCAAUCCAAUGUCGUAGAGUCAUAGAGCCAACAAGUAGUAGAGCCAGCAUUUGAAUACUGGCAGAUUGGUUCCAAAACCAAUUAUUGGCUCCUAACCAUUAUUCUACCACGCGGUUGCUCAAUUAGAAUAGUCAUGUGUGUGUGUGUGUGUGUGUGUGUGUGUGUGUGUGUGUGUGUGUGUUUUAAAGGCUCUAAGGCUCCUUGCAGUCCUAGAGCCUAUUGUGGAGUUAGACCCUCAGUAUAUAUAGUAAGUGAAUUUUCAGUGAAGAAGAAGAUGAGGAGUUGAUUUUGGCCUUGGACAGGUUACCAAGUAUUCUUGGGCUUAAGGCACAUUUUGGUAGUUUUCUAACUUUGCCAGCAGAAUACAGUUAACAACUGGGAGGAGUGGGCCUUGAUGUCAUUUUUAUGCUACCAACUGGCUUUGGGUGCACCAGCUAAAAGCAGUUUCUCACUGGAGGAGCUGCAAGAACCUGGGGGAAAGUGGCACUGUUUGUGCUGUCACGUAAGUCAUGUUGCAGAGCCACAUGUUCUGUUGCCAGUUUUGAAGGAACGCCAUAAUGUGUUUUCUGUUGCAGCUCUGGGGCUUCUCCUAAACUCCUACUCUAAUCCUCAAGGUCUCUUUUUUCCCUUCUGCAACAGGCUCUAGGAAAUCAACACACUUCCCUCUCCUUCAGAAGCUGCCACUGUCCUUUGGGGUUGGUUUCCUUACUACUGUUAGAUACAGUAAACUCCAAGUUUCUCUUCAAAGAGUCAGUAUGUCAGUAUGCUCAGCUCUCUUAUUCUUUAAUUCUCCAUUUUAAAGUUUAACUUCCUUGUGGUUUCAGUAAACAACCUUUUCCACCAGUUCUAAUUAGUGGUUCACAUCUGUUCCCCCGGUCCCCUGCUCCGUCCUGACUCAUCCUGGUCACCUGCUGUGGUCACCUGCUCUGGUCACCUGCUUUGACCUGAGUUACCCUUGGUUACCUGCUCUGACCUGUCCCAUAACUGUCCUUCCUGCUAAACUACCCACACUGCCACUCCAGCUCAUACCCCUGCUCUCUUUAAAAUAUCCAAUUGGAAUUAGCUUAGACUUUGCAGUCUAACCCUAGCCCAUACGGGAAUGACACAGCAGUAGGGACUACCUCCAUCAGGAAUAAGAGCUCCUUCCCCUCCCUUGUCCAGGUGUGCUUUCACCAUUGCUCCAUCAGUGUGACGCACCCUUCUAUAGAUGUAAAUUGCCUUGCUGAGAGAAUUUAUAUUCAAAUGCUACUUCUUUUGUGGCACUAAAAAUUUUGCAUAUAACACUACCCCCCAAAGAUGAACACAAAAGACCUUUUUUGUCUUUAAGGCUUUCACUGCUAAUUGCAAAGGGAAAACAGAGCAUUGCACAAAUGAUAAUGAUGGAGAAGCAGUAGACGGUCCAGCAUCUUACAAAGUCCUUAUUGUCUGGAUCCUUUGUAGUUAAAUUCCUUCUGUAAUUACGAAGGAAAGCCUCAAAGAUCUUGUGCCCUCUUCUGAAGGUGGAACUCACUGAGUCUUCCCAUUGUUUUCUGGUUUCUUUUUUAGUGAGGUCCCAGGAAUCAUUUUCUUCAUGUGACUACUCUUCCCAACCUCAACAUGCAGUCUUUGGGCAUCCAGUAGGUGUUUGACUUCUCUAAAGACUUCCAGAGUGGGUUACUCUGGCUGGUUCAAUGCACUGCUGUCUCUCUGGGUCUUUUCCUGCACUCACUAAGGUCCCCAAAGGCAGGAACUAUUUAUUCUCUGUUCUUCUGUGUCCCCCCUCUUGGUGAUGGGUUUAUGGCCCAAAGCCUGAGCUUAUUGUCUACACAAGCAAUGUAGAAAUAGUUUAUGGUUUGACUUGGGACUUUGUCCCUGAAAGUAAUUCUCUGAUGGUAAAUUUGUACUUUUAUCCUUAUCAUGAAUCAAAGGGCCUUCAGGGGGAUGUAAUUUUUAUUUAAAACCAUUUAGUAGAUGUAAGCAAAUACAAGAAUAGGAGAGUGGGUUGAGCCAGUCUGCUUGGGUGAAUGCUUGGAAAUUGCUUGCUAGGAUAAGCUGUCUUGAGUAAUAAAAUAAAGACUCCCCGGAAUCAAAUAGAUGUGAAGGUAGGUACAAGAAGAGGAUGUACAAGUGUUCUUAGAGACAGAUGUGGAGGUGCAAGAAAAGGACGUGCAAAUGUUCUUACUGUGCUUAUACCAUUUAAUGUACUUCGAUGAUUUGGUGCCAGAAAAGCAAGAGACACAGCUGUGAAGAGGCAACGAAGGAGAAAGUAGGGUCGGAGGACUUGGGGAAGGGACAGCCAGACCUGAGACGCAAGGCUUAGAGACCAGACAUCAUACUUGUGCUGAGAAAGGCAGCAUUUGGUGAGGCAAGGGAGCAGGGAAUGGCUUCACUAAAGUAUGACCAGAGAUUGAAAGCAUGUCAAGAGAAAGCCAAGAGCCAUGUGAAGCAAAUAAGGAAGAUCAUCCCCAAGAUCUGCUCUCCCUUCAGUCUGGGUGGCCUUUUCCUGUUCUCCUGUCUGCGCUUUCUCAGGCAGUUGUGAAUGAUGAGGCCACCCAACAGAAAUGAUAAGCCCUCAAAACCUCCGUAUUGUUACGCUCUUUUUCCAGCUAAGCAAUUUCUUCCUCAUGUGGGGCAGAGGGUUGGAGCAGCGGUUCCCAGCAGACCACCAUGAGCUUCUCAUGGGAGAAGCUGCCCUGAAAAGAUACACGAUUUAGAGCAGAUGAUGAUAAUCAUUAUCAUCAUUCUGGCAAACUUAGAGGAGCAUGCAUAUAAAAUACUAAAAUCUUAUGGUGCUGGCGAUUCAUUUUAUGGGAAUCUGGCAUUGAUUCAGAAGACAGUACAUCUACCCUGAGACUGUUGUAGUUUCAGCAACUCAAAUUCCAUGCCCACUUUAAGACAGUAUGUCAAGACUAUAGUGAGUGGAAUAAUAAUAAAAGUGAUUGUCGUUUGAAUGGGAAUUUCUUACAGCAGUCUGAUUAGCAGAGGGUCUUUAUUCAAGGACGUGCGUUAACAUCAUCUGUUGUACGAAUGAUUGUACUAAUGCCAUCUGUUAGUGCAGGAAUCGCUUUGUAGAUUUGUCAUCGUUACAUUCCAUGUCCGAUGAGCGUGUGUAAAAACAGUUAAGUAUUUCUCCAGUGUCUUUCUCCUUAAAGCGGCCCAUAUUUUAAGCUCAUUCUUCUCUGCUUCACUUGCACGGGCAUCUUCCCCAUGCUCCUGGAGAAAGUCUGAUGCGUGGUCUAACAUCUCCUGCUCCUCUCCUUGGCCUAUCACCUUUUCAGCGUGAAGACCCUAUUCCUUAUUUCAGGCACCUGAUUAGUUGUCAUGUUGCCGUGGACCUCACUACCUGUUUGGACGGAUUAUCCGGCUCUGAUUGACUGUCACACGCUCCUCCCAGAAGACAUCCGUCUAAGACGCCCUGUCCUUCAUCUCAGCACACUUUCUCUUAAUACUCUUCUUACAGAAUCAAAGAGCUGGGAGUUUGCUUGUCUCUAAGCAAGAUGGUCUCUGAUCUUGGACCUUGUGCUUAGAUCCAGGGAAGAUGAUUUUUUAAAAGUUGGUGAUAUGUGUAUAAUGUAAAAGUCAAAUAUAGCUCUUAGUGUUAUUAAAAAGAUUCAGUGCCACUCUGUACUCUCAGUUCCUAAUCUCUCAAGGCAGUUUCCCUUCUUUCAGAUGUUCCUUCUUCUGUAUUUCAUGAUAUGCUUAUGGCUCUAUACUCUGUUUUUCAGUGUUCUAUACUACCUAUUGACUAUCUCCUAUGAAAGAGAAUUAUUUGGCAUCUCACUCUCUACUCGCCACACUUUCUUUCUCUCUCCCAUUCCUCCCUCCCUUCUCUCAUUCUCUUGAUUUAAUUAUGCAUCAGAUAUCUAUUACUGCAUAGCAAAUGAUUCCAGAAGUUAGUGCCAUAAUAUAAAAAUCAUUUCUUAUCUAUUCAGUAGGACGGGAAUUUGGAGGUGAUUUUAUGAGCUUGUUCUGGCUCAAGGUCUCUCAUAAAAUUGUAGUCAUCUGAGGACUUGACUGAAGCAGAAAGCUGUGAUUUCAGGGCACCCACCUGGAUAGCUUCCAGGUGUUGCUUGUUGGCUAAAUGUCUCAGUUCUUCUGUGUUUGGCCCUUACUACAAGCUGUUUAGGCAUCCUCAGACAUGACAAGUGGCUUUCCCAAGAGUUAGUGACCCAAGAAAGUGCAAGGCAAAAGCUCUGAUGUCUCGCGUGGCCUAGCCUCAGAUGUUUCACAUCUUUCUUUCCACUAUCUUCUGUCCCUUAAUUAUUUGGCAUCUCGCUCUAUUCGCCACACUUUCUCUUUCUUUCUCUCUCUCAUUCCUUCCUCCCUUCUCUCAUUCUCUUGAUUUAAUUAUGUAUCCAAUAUCUGUACCAUCAUUUUAUCUUGGGAGUAAAUGACUUGUUUUUGAUCUCACAGGCUCAUAGGUGGAAGGAACUCAUCUCCAACUUUGGACUUUGGACUUGAAAUGCAGAAAUGGGUUAAGACUUUGGGGGAUUAUUGUGGAGGCAUGAUUGCCUUUUGAAAUGUGAGAAGGACAUAGGAUUUGUGGGGCCAGGGAUAGAACGAAAUGGUUUGGAUGUUUGUCCUCUCACAAUUUCAGGUUGAAAGGUGAUUCCCUUUCACAAUUUCAGGUUGAAAGGUAUUGGAGGUUGGAUUAUGGCACUGGAUUCCUCAUGAGUGGCUCAGCACCAACCCCUUGGUGAUGAGUGAGUUCUUGCUCAGUUGGUUCAUAUGAGAGCUGGUUGUUUAACAAGCCCAGCUCCUCCUGCACUCUCUCUUGCUCCUGUUUUUGCCAUGUCAUACACUCGCUCCCCCUUCACCUCUAACCAUAAAUUGUAAACUUCCUGAGGCCUCACUAGAAGCUGAGCAGAUGCUGGCACCAUGUUUGUACAGCCCAUAGAACCGUGAGCCAAUUAAGCCUCAUUUCUUUAUAAAUUACCCAGGUAAUUACCAGGUAUUUCUUUAUAGCAAUGCAAAAACAGACUAAUACAGGGGCCAUUAUGCUGCCUGCCACAGCUAUGUAAAUAGAGCUUACUACGUGAUAUUAUAGUACAUGUUAUAGGGAGUCAUAAUUAUAUUUCCUUUUUAUACAACUUUUCAUUUUCUUUGGACAUAAUAAUUGCCUCUUUUUUCUAUUUGCUCAUGUUUUACAUGUAUCCAUCAUUAAUUCAUCCCUAAACCAUCUGAUAAAGCCAACAAUCUUGUUCCUAAACAUGCCAACUAUUCUUUUAGCUCCACCUCUCUUUGCUUGGCACUAUUCCUUAAGAGCGCUCUGUCUUUUCCAAUCUGGGUUUUGCUUUUUUGGGGGACAGCAAACGCGUUUUCUUGUGGGUUCUCUUCACUGCCGUCCUGAGUUUUCUCUCUUCUGUUUGAGACUCUCCAUUGUUCUUUACUCUCCCAUUUUCCUGAGUCACGUCGAAGUCUUUCUCCCAGUUCCCCUGCUAUCCUGGCCUCCUGUGAGAUCUGCAAUUUGAAUACCUUGGCUUUGCCAGGAUUCUUCAAGGAGAAGGAUCUUGUAUCUGUGGCUUUGUCUGCUGCAGGUUUAAAUUUCGCCUUUCCCUGGUCUGCUAACUCAGCUGCAGUUCACCUCUCUAGCUCUCAGCUUUCGUUGAUAUCAAUUGUGUACUGUCGUCUCCUCUCAAAGUCUCUUUGGCCACGUGGGCUUGAGCCACUUUUUAUUUCUUGUUGAUAUUUUAGUGAGAUGUCUGCAGGGAGAGGAGAAGAAUGGGCGUGUGGACGCCUGUGUGCCGGCAGCUGAUUACUUGGCUUCCACACUUGGUUCAGCUCUUCCACUGAAGGAAUUGGGAUUGUUUAUUUUCCCCACAGAUAUUUUUGAACUGUUCUAAAAUGGAAGCUAUUGCACUAACUGCCACUACAUUAUUUAUCUUGUCAUGUAGUAGGGUAUCUGCCAAGAUGGCCAGACCCCAUUGCUCUACUUUUUUAAUAGAAUAGAUUCUUUUUUGCUUUGCUUUGAAGACUCUAAAUUAUUUUAAUAGAUUUAUGUAUUUUUUCUUUUUCUCUUGAAUUAAGACAGAAAUAAUUUUUCCAAUGACUCUGUUAUCUCGGUUUCGUAUUAAAAAUCCUCAAACUUCACCUAGUGGUGACAGCAGGACAGUCUAAGGUGUAUCAUAGGAAUGUCUCAGUCUCACUUGCCUGCUCAUACAAAUGAAACCAUGGUUCUAAAAACAUUCUUGCUGGCUGCAGACAACUACAUUGUAUCCAGGAUUCUUUUCUCAGUGUCUUUUCUAUGAAUCCCUAGGGAUAUUCACAUGUAUCCGGAAAUCAGUUCUGGUCAUUCAUGACUUCAUGGCUGGCUAAGCCAGGACCACACAGUAGCCCCAUGCUGGAAAUUUCUACAGGGUUCACUCUGUAGUGAGAACAUUGCUGGUACUGCUGGAGGUACUGUUUUUCAUGAAAACAGGCUCCUCCUCUCUGAGGCAGAGGAACCAGGCAUCUGUAGCCUCGGCAUCAGUCACCCUUGCAGGUGACAGACAAGCUCCGGUGUUGGCUGCUUGGGAGUGGAGAUUCUCAGGCCUUUCUGUGUUAUGACCUCUUACCCUGGCAUGGCUGAGCUUUGGCCUUUCAGCUCAUACCCUAAUAGAAGUAUAGGGAUGGGGCUCCCAUCAAGCAGCAACCUCCAGUCACUUGCAGUAGAUCUUUGUUAAUCCAUCCAUGAGAUAUCUCCAUGGUAAGAGGGAGAAUAUUCUCACCCAGCUUUACAUUCCAUCAGCAAAAGUUUCACAGUAAAGCUGCCUGAACCCACUGUAAUCUGGCUCUAUCAACUCACACGCUCUCACCGCAGCAUCCUCCUGAAAACUUCCAUCCUUUCCUGGGAGUUCUCUCUCUCAUUCAUUAGGCAUUCUUCUGUAUCCUAGAAACCUAAGGGGAAUUAGAGUUCAAUCCAUCUUUUCCUCCAUAAGUUCCUUAGUUCUUAUGUGGAUUUAAGUACAAAUAGAGGCAGGAGAGAAUCCGCCCCCCCACCCCUCUGUCCCGACUCCUCUGGCCAGCCAUGUCUGCCGCAAAGUGCAACGGAAUAGCUGGAGGGUAAUUUUGCUUAAGGCAGUGAUCUCCAAAGUGAGUUUCACAAGAUGGUAUGGGAAGGAAAAAGUAUAUCAUUUCUAUGUAUUUUUUAAAUUGCAUUCUUUAAAAGCAUUUGCAUGCAUGUUUUACUUGUGUGCAUAAACGUACGAUCUAUGGUCAGACACGUUUUCCUAGUGGAACACAGUCUUAUAACAGCAGGUAAUCCGGCAGUGUCCGCAGGAUGGACCCGUGGGACCGCAGACACCCGUAGUGUUUGUGUAUUUGAUAAUGUCGCUUGAAGGCUCACUGUUGUCAUGUUUUUGUGUGGAUAUCGUGACUGUUUACCCGUUUUUACUUAUCAUUAGGGUGACAAAGCUUUUUACUUUCCACUUGCAGGAAAUUCACACAAUAUUUGCCUACCAAGGCUUUUAGGUUCAUAAAGCAGCAUUAAAAUUUAAAACAAAUAGCCUUGAACUUCUGGUAUUACUACUGUUAUUACCUAAAUUUUGUCACCUGUGGUGAGAUUAAUUUUCAAUCUUUUUUCAACUUGUGAACCUCCCUUUAGGUUUCUUUACAGUUGCUUAUGUGGCUAAUUGCUUUCAGCUACAGAAAGCCUAGAUGUGUAUGGAUUUCUCUUUGAAUUAGGCCUUCAAAAAUUUGAAACCAAAAAUGGACAAAUGAAUCUAUUUACCACACCAAACUAAGCUGCAUUUAUUCCCAUGAAGGUCUAUUUAGGCAUUGCUGGUAGACGUUGCUGACUUCCCAGACUUUGGGCCUGGCUUACCCAGAUGGACUCAUGUGAGGCCACGUUGAAGAAGGGUAGCAAAUAACUCAACAGCAUAAACACUGAGCUGCAAUAUUCGUGUGGCAAGAGGGCACGUGUGGCUCCACACGGGCAGGGUCUGACUUGCUAGUUGCGUAGUAGUAAGGUCGGUGACUCAGGUGCCAGAGAGGACUGCAUUUGGGAUUUAUGCUAUCUAGAAGUCAUGUGUUUCAUUCCUUACUCCAUAUCCACAGCCACCACCAGCCUCCAAGAGGACCCCUGGUGAUCCCCACCUCCUAGUGUUCACACCUGUGUGGACUCCUCCCAUGUUGGACCAGGGGGUGACCAAUAAAAUAUGGCAAAAAUGAUUGCAAGCUACUCCCAAGAUGAGGUUAUAAAAGACACUGUGGCUUUUGUCUUGGUCCCUUUCCUUCUCUCUCUCUCGGAUCAUUUGAUUCUGGGGAACUGAGACGCAUGUCAUGAGCAGCCCGUGGUAGACCCUAUGCUGAGUACUGGGUGUACAGUGAGUGCACCAUAAUUGUGCCUGUGAAUAGCCACUGCUCUCUAGCCUGCAACAUAGCGAGACUCUGUCUCUAAAAAAAAAUUUUUUUUUAAAGUUUAAACAUUUUACAAGUAGAGCAAAAGGAGACAUUGACAAAAGAAAUAAUGUGGCAAACUUGGUAAGCAGAAGAAUCUGAAAUUCAACUAGAAGAAGGGAUAGAAUUCGUAUUUAUUUUCUGAGGCCAUACUUAGCUCCAACGAGAAUUGCUAAGAGUAGAAAGAUACCUGCUGAAGGGGUGAUAUUCUCUAGCGGAGAUAGCUGCUGGAGGGGUGAGAUUCUCUAGCGGAGAUAGCUGCUGGAGGAGUGAGUUGUUUUACUAUCAAAUCCUUUAAUCAUCUCUUCAUCCAAUAAUUUGUAUUGAGUGUCUCUUAUGUGUUAAUUACUGGGAAAGUCAGACGUAGUCCUAACCUUCAUAAAGCUUAUAAUGUACAGAGAGAGACAGAUACUAAUUAUACAAAGAUAAUUAAACUGCUAUUAUAAAUUAUACUUAAAUAAAAAGUUUCCUUAAAUACUGGAUAUGCAGAGAUAAGAUACAUUCCUGUUUUAAAAAAUUACUCAGUUUUCAGAGGAGACAGUAAUGUUUUCAAGCAAUGCAGUGCAUCGUGGUAGGCGUGAUAGCAGAAGAGUGGACAAGCCUUCCCUGGAGCUUCAAGGAAGCUGUGUUUGUCUCAGUUCGGUUCAUUGAAGAACUGCCUUUUAAACUGGAGAGGGGGAAAAAUAGAUGCCUUGAGGCAAAUAGGGAAGUGAAGGGAAGAAAGAAGUCUUUGCAGGCAGACAACCACAUAUGUAAGGGCAGGAAAUUGAGUUCUAAAUGAAUUUAAUGGGAAAAAAGGAACUUAGAACUUUCUUUCAUGGACCCCACUGGAAAUAUAAAAGAUGUGUAAGAGAAAAUAUCUGUCCUCUAACAUCUUACACCUUCCCAAGAUUUGAAGCAACAAGAGAUCUCUUCAAACUCUGAGGAUGCUUGAACCUGAUGCUGUCCAAUAUGGUAGCCACUAGACACACGUGGCUGUUUGGUUCUUGAAAUGUGGCUGGUUUGAAUCAAGUGUGCUGUUAAGUGUAAAAUACCAAAAUUUGGAGAUAUCACAAAAAGACAAAUUAUUUCAUUAAUAAUUUUUAUAUUGAUUACAUGUUGAAAUGUUUUUGGUAUAUUGAGUUACAUAGAACACAUUAUUAAAAUCAAUUUUACCUGUUUGCUUUCACUCCUCUCAAAGGGGCUGAUACUAAGUUUAAAACGCUAUCUGUGAUCUGCCUUGUGGCUGGCCUUGCCUCCCUUGCAGACAGUGCUGUUUAUAGGCCGCUGUGGCAAUGGCCCAGGAGAGCCUGUGGCACGAGCCUUGUGGAUGGGAAAGAAGGAAGGGGGCUCAGACAUGUUGAGAGGGCCACAGCCCAUGUGCUUUCCUGGACCCUCACUCUGUGCUGAGGGAUUCUAGUGUAGGGUUUGCGGGAAGCUGAGCUUCCCCCACUGGAAGCUUUUUAGUUCAGAAUUCUUUCCAUUUGCUUCCCUUUUGCUUCUAAUAUUGUAGCAUGGGUAGAAGAAAAAAGAAAGGCUCUGCUUUGAGAAAGGAAAGGCUACUUGGUAAUAGAGGGGAAGCCUAUCUAACUUCUUUAGAAGAGUUGAGCCUGGUUCUGGACACAUUCCAUUUGCUUGCUGGAAGGUCUGGGAGUCUAACAAAUUCCUAUCAGGCUAUAUGAUUUGGGUCUUCAUUGGGUAUACGUUAGGGCAACCCGUUUCUUUUUUCUUGACUUGUAAGAGACUGGAACUAAGUUUUAUUGAGCUGAAAAAAGAAAUAGAAAUGUCCUGGGCCUGAAGACUAUGUAUUGAUCCACAAUUGGAGGGACUGACAACACCAGCUCCUGGAGGUCGUCUGAGUUGUUGACCAGCCUCUGAAAUGGGGUGCCGAGCCUAUCUUAGUCUCUCGUACAAAUUGCUCUGCAACCUUGCCAAAGAUAACAGCGUCUCUCUGUCUUUAUAUCUUAUUGGUUAACCAAUUUCCAGAUCUGAAUAGCCAGGGUGCUCUGUAGAUAUACUUUAAAACAUUUUAAAAGUAUACCAUCAAUAAAAACAUCAUGCUUUUUAAGGUAGAAAGCACUUUGGAGGAGAAUAAUUGAUUGUGUUCCAGGACCUCUGGGUGGAACUGAAAUAUUAAUAGAAGAGGACAUUGCCCAAUUCUGGGAAUGUUGAAGCAGGUGGAAAUGAGCUCCAGGCACAGGAUCUUUCAUGCCCCCUUCAGGUUACUCUAGACAGUUAAAGCAGAUGUGGUCUGAACUAUCUCCACACAGCAGACCUGGCCAGGCUGGCUAGCCCUCCUAAACAAAGACAUUGUGUGGAGUUUUAGGGAUGAACUCUCUUUUAGUUUGUUAGGUGGCCAUAACAAAAUACCGUAAAUCGGGUGGCUUAAACAGCAGGAAUGUAUUCUUGCAUAGUUCUGGAGGCUGGAAGUAUGAGAUCAAAGUGUUCGUAGGGUUGGUUCCUUGGAGAGUUUUGAACGUGAAUCUGUUUCAUGCUUCUCUCCCUGGCUUCUGGUGGUUUGCUGGCCAUCUUUGGCAUUCCUUGGCUUGCAGACUCAUCAUCUAGAUCUCUGCCUUCAUGUUCACAUGAUAUUCUCUCUGUGUGCAUGUGUGUGUGUACAUUUCUCCUUCUAAGGGCUCCAGUUAUAUUAAAUAAGAGCCCACUCUAAAUCACUGUAACUUGAUUACUUUUUGUUUUAUGGUGGGCAGGUCUAUGCGAACCAACCCCAAAGUCCAAGGAAGCUCAGAGGCUAAAGAAAGAGGCUGACAAAUCUAGUUUCUUAGAAAGAACUGGGACUUAUGAACAGAAGACACGUCCGUGUCUCGGGGGAUGGUGAAACAAGAUGCUGGACCCCUGUGCCAUUAUCCCCAGACCCACGGCUUAUAUACCAUUAAAAAAAGGGAUGGUUCAGAAGGGACGUGUAGGACAACUGAGGUCUGAUAACAUCAAGGUUGUUUUACCUAAGGGCGAGAUUUACAGUUAAGUACCUAAUUUUACAAAAGGAAAUGUAAUCCCAGCACUUUGGGAGGCCGAGGCGGGUGGAUCAUGAGGUCAAGAGAUCAAGACCAUCCUGGUCAACAUGGUGAAACCCCGUCUCUACUACAAAUACAAAAAAUUAGCUGGGCAUGGUGGCGAGUGCCUGUAAUCCCAGCUACUCGGGAGGCUGAGGCAGGAGAAUUGCCUGAACCCAGGUGGCGGAGGUUGCAGUGAGCCGAGAUCGUGCCAUUGCACUCCAGCCUGGGUAACAAGAGUGAAACUCCGUCUCAAAAAAAAAAGGGAACAAUAGAUAAACUAGAAAUCUUAGAGACCUUCCUGGAACUGUGGUUAAUCAGAAUCCAACAUGGUUGAUUAGCAUCCAAGAUGGAGUCACUUUAACCUCCACACUUCUGUAAAGAACUUGUCUCCAGAUAAUCUUACAUUUGGAGGAGUUGGGGAUUAGGACUUUAACAUAUAAACACAUAAACUUGAGAGAGAAACAAUUUGACCCAUAACAAACUCAAUUCAAGGAAAGUAUUGAUACCUUUUGCCUUAUAUUACUUUUAUAUGUACAUAGUGUGCUCAUUGAGUAACCUCCCGCUGUUGAUGGAUCCAUGUGAACUGAUGUUACUUUUCUAUAACUGCUACAUUUGUUUUCUUUUAAACAUCUUUUACUCUGUAGGUCCUCAUACCUUGAGCACAUCCUACACCGAUUCUAUGACUUAUCACUUAUUAAACCUGCCUCAUUUGGUUAUUAUGAUUCUCAGCUGGGGGAAUAACAAAGAAGGGGCUUUGUUUCUGCUGGUAUAGCUGGUAUCAUGGAUACUGUACAGGGCCUCCCAAAUGAAACAACUAAAAUACUAUCUUUUUAACAGUAUAAACAUCUUUUUAAAUGCACCAUUGAGCUGGAAUGAAAGUAAGACACUGUCAGAGAUUUUCUUUUCCAUCACGCUUUUUAUUUUGGAAUAACUUUAGAUCUACAGAAAAGUUGCAAAUUUCCAUCAACUUUUCAGGCAAAGUGAGGAUGAUGGGGAGGAGAAAAGUAAUGUUGCCAUUUGGGGAACUCAGUGGCCUCUGAGCUCUUUGCUGAAGAGCAAAGAAUCCAGGGUUUAAUUACAACUGGGAGGAUCAGCAAAGAAUUUUUAUAAGGGUGGAAUUCAAGUAGGGUUUUGAAGAACCCCAAUAGGGCUAGAACUCCAAUAGGUAGGAAAAGGCCUUGCAGAAUAAGGGACCCAUAUAAUCAAUGCCCAGAAAGUAGGGAAGAGGAUGGUGCAUUCACCCUGUUUAUAUCGUGUCUGGACAGGAGCUGGCAGCAGGUAAAUGUUUGUAAGUGUGCAGGGUCUGGUUGCUGGUAGAGUGUGUGAUAGCAGCAACCUCUUCUUUCAUGCCAGGCUUCUGCUUUGUGCUUUGUAUACUUUCAGAAACUUAGUCUUCAAACCAGUCUUUUGAGGCUAGGUACUACUAGAAUCCCCAUUUUAGGGAUGAUACAACUGAGGCUUAAAGACAAUCUAUAGUGAUAGAGCUGGGAUUAGAUGCAGGCCUGUCUGUAAUUUAUGCCAGGAGUAGGGGAUUCAACAGGGCUGAGGAAAAUGAAAAAGCCAAAAGUGCGAGCUGAGAAUUUUGGAAAGGGAGUCAGCAGAUCUGAAGAAAUGCUGGGUCUGUGUUUGUGACAAGGGAAGUCAUGAGUCUGUUGACUUUGGGGGUUUAGUGCCUUUUUGGAAUGAAAAGUUCAUAAUGAAAGUUCUGCUUGACAGAUGAUAAUGGCUCUAGAGGGAAUCAUGAGGAAAGACAAGUGCGUACUCUGCAUUUAUCCUAAAUGCAGUUUCUGGAGAAAGAAGAAUGGCAUGAGGUUUGUCAUCUUGUCUCUUGGGGAGAUAUCCCGUGGUGUGUGCAGUAAUGGGCUGAUAAGCUAGCUCUCCGACAAACCACAAACACCCAUGCACACAUGCACACCUUGACAAACCACAUACACACAUGCACACCUUGACAAACCACAUACACACAUGCACACAUGCACACCUUGGCAAACCACAUACACACAUGCACACCUUGACAAACCACAUACACACAUGCACACAUGCACACCUUGGCAAACCACAUACAUGCACACCUUGACAAACCACAUACACACAUGCACACCUUGACAAACCACAUACACACAUGCACACAUG